GCUAUUAAGAAACAUGCAGUGAAGUGAGGUUAUGGACAACUAAAAAAGCUGUUGCUUCACAGACACAAUUCAUGAUGCAUGGCCACUGGUCUCCAGGUAACAUUUCACUAUUCCACUUCCAAACAUUCUAGGGAAGUGAAGGGUGAGCCAGGUCACUUACAUCACAGACACCAGCCUGCACAAUUCCUCUGUAGUUUAACAUAUUGCCCUCAACUGCAAAACUCCUUGUAUGUUUCUUUGCACUGAGCUGGACAAAGCUGGGAAGAAAACUAUUAAGUCCAUUGGGAGCUUAGUAGAUUUCCAAUCUUCACUAUGAAAGAACAAAACAUAGAGAAAUGUGGGAGAUAUCCAGUUGGAUGACUACACCUAGGAAGGUCCCUGAGAGCAAUUACUGGCAGAGAGUUGCCACUGAGUGACAUCAGAUUGUUUCCGAGCAGUGCCCAGGCUCCCGCUUACCCUGCUCUUGGUGCGCUCCAGCUGCUCCCGCUGCUCCCCGAGCUCCUCGAUGAUGUCCGUGCCAAUCUGGUCGGUUUCAGCAGCGAUUCGGUGCGAGCGCUCGAUGCUCUCGCUGGCUCGGUUCAGGCUGUCUGUGCCCUGGAGAAGCAGCACCCUCUGGGACUGCAGGUUAGUCUGAAAAAUAACGGAUGCUUAACUAUUAAGCACAAAUACAGAAGUAUUGGGCUUGUGACAUUAAAAAGUUAGAAUGUGACUCCAUAGGCCGUCCAUUUGUAUUAGCUGUACAUACUUCUUAUGUUUACUGAUGCAACCCAGUUAAUUUUGGCUGAGCCUUGUUCACCUUUGUCGUGGGGACAAAGAUUAUGACCAAAUCUGGUUAAAUCUCUAAAAAGGAUACAGCACUGAAGAGUUAAAACAGUUCCAAAAAACUGUCUUUGUAGCAAUUUACUUUUCCAUCAAAGAAUAUUUACAUGAAAUUAGUAUCUUUCUUUUCCAGAUGCAAACUUUUAUCUUCCAUUCACAUCUAAAGUCAGCCUUAUUUUCGACUUCAUAGUUGGUUGCCAGGGAAAUCUUUAAGAGUUUACAGUCAAAAGGAUUAGGAACAAACAGCACUAACAGAUGGGCUGCUAAGUAACACAGAUCCUCUUUUCAUGCCAAUAGCCUGGGCUAGAGGAUAAGGAAUGUUUGCUGACCUUGGGGUCAGAAGGUAGCUCAAAAUAAAGUGUUUUCUUAAGCUUCAGAAAGUCUAAUCUAUCACCCUGCUCUCAGGUUUUAGAGUAAUCAGUCAAGAGGAAUCAAAUGCAAAAAUUUCCCAAGCCACAGCAGAAGCAAAUAUUAAGCAAAGAAUCUCCGUCAAAACUGGCCUCAUCUAAGGCAGAAAAUGAAAAGCCCACCUCCAUGAACUUUCUGUACAGAUGACAGCACUUUGAAGACAACAAGGAGAUUCAGUCUCACUAGCUCGGAUAUGUCUAAGCCUAUCUGGUAAACAAGAAAUUGGUGUAAUUUUUGCAUUGUUGCAGCAAAACCAUACUGAAAUAUGUGCUAGAGGAAAAAUCCUUAUAUUUUCUGCAAUUAUUUAGACUAACAUCGCUUAAAAGAUAAUUCUGUGAAAGAACUUAUACAAUGCAUGAUUCACACUUUGCUGGUUUUGGAGAUUAGAACUAGGUGAAUUAACCUUUUUUUCAUUAAGUAGAACCACUUCUGUGUUUUCCCUUCUGUAGGAAGGGAAACCUGUGGAAUGAUCAAACAAAGAGUUUCGGUACAGAAUGUUGCGCAAAUUACUAACCACAUAAGGAGUUCCAUUUUGAUUACAUUCCUAUCUUUUAGAACAGAAAAGCUCUCCUCUGAGUUCCAGGUGUUUUUUCUCCUCCCUAAGAUAUUCAUGUUACAUGCAGAUAUAUAUACAAGGAGUUAUAAAAGCACAGAGGUGGCUUAAAGUAGAAACACUGUAAACAACGCAUCUGCAAUACUGCUUUUGCACAAUCACAGCACAGUUAAAUCAAGUUGACAUCUAAUCCUUA
Long non-coding RNA from Passer domesticus (house sparrow), 1976 nucleotides. RefSeq lists it as uncharacterized. NCBI's taxonomy places the organism in Eukaryota, Metazoa, Chordata, Aves, Passeriformes, Passeridae. The transcript is spliced from 2 exons. The record is from RefSeq and is a predicted model, not a curated record.